UACGUAGGGGGCAAGCGUUGUCCGGAAUCAUUGGGCGUAAAGAGCGUGUAGGCGGUCCGGUAAGUCAGCUGUGAAAGUCAAGGGCUCAACCCUUGAAUGCCGGUUGAUACUGUCGGGCUAGAGUCCGGAAGAGGCGAGUGGAAUUCCCGGUGUAGCGGUGAAAUGCGCAGAUAUCGGGAGGAACACCAAUGGCGAAGGCAGCUCGCUGGGACGGUACUGACGCUGAGACGCGAAAGCGUGGGGAGCGAACAGG
This 253-nucleotide ribosomal RNA is filed under the name uncultured bacterium. RNAcentral describes it as "partial 16S ribosomal RNA". It matches the Rfam family "Bacterial small subunit ribosomal RNA", at positions 524 to 776 of the family's 1533-position model. The record is from RNAcentral.